RNAcentral lists this ribosomal RNA (497 nucleotides) under uncultured bacterium. RNAcentral's name for it is "partial 16S ribosomal RNA". It matches the Rfam family "Bacterial small subunit ribosomal RNA", at positions 28 to 507 of the family's 1533-position model. The record is from RNAcentral.
GAUGAACGCUGGCGGCGUGCCUAAUACAUGCAAGUCGAGCGAACAGACGAGGAGCUUGCUCCUCUGACGUUAGCGGCGGACGGGUGAGUAACACGUGGAUAACCUACCUAUAAGACUGGGAUAACUUCGGGAAACCGGAGCUAAUACCGGAUAAUAUAUUGAACCGCAUGGUUCAAUAGUGAAAGACGGUUUUGCUGUCUCUUAUAGAUGGAUCCGCGCCGCAUUAGCUAGUUGGUAAGGUAACGGCUUACCAAGGCGACGAUGCGUAGCCGACCUGAUAGGGUGAUCGGCCACACUGGAACUGAGACACGGUCCAGACUCCUACGGGAGGCAGCAGUAGGGAAUCUUCCGCAAUGGGCGAAAGCCUGACGGAGCAACGCCGCGUGAGUGAUGAAGGUCUUCGGAUCGUAAAACUCUGUUAUUAGGUAAGAACAAAUGUGUAAGUAACUAUGCACGUCUUGACGGUACCUAAUCAGAAAGCCACGGCUAACUACGUG